This is a long non-coding RNA of Dreissena polymorpha, 1318 nucleotides long. RefSeq lists it as uncharacterized. The transcript is spliced from 3 exons. NCBI's taxonomy places the organism in Eukaryota, Metazoa, Mollusca, Bivalvia, Myida, Dreissenidae. The record is from RefSeq and is a predicted model, not a curated record.
GAAAAUCACCGACGUUCAGAAAAGGAAUCAGUUCUUGGCAAAGUUCGGGGACUGGCUGGCUGACAGGGGGAUCAACCCUUAUAGAAUGGCCGUGGCGGACAAGGGGUCCAUGAAGGAGAUGGUGAUAAAGUACCACGUCUUAUAUAGAAUAUCAUCCGAGAUUGCCCAAUUUAAGGAUGGCAUGGAUGACGUAUGCGGCAUGUUGGGGAUGGUAACAAAACAUGCCAGUGUAUUCCAACCGCUGUUUUGCAAUCGUUCUAAACCUCUAACGAAACAGGAAAUGGACAUAAUCAUUCGGUAUGAUUUCAGUGAGCUCGGAUCUAAUGCCAGGAUAUCUUAAGAUGAGACUGUCUACGCAUGGGGGCUCUUUUUGCAGGACAUUGAAGAUGGAAUUGUUCCAACAACAAGGGAAGAAUUGCUGUCGUUCAUUUCCGGAGCAUCCAGUAUUCCCUCCUUGGGCUUUUAAAAGCCGAUUGAAAUACAUUUCUAUAUGCAAGAAGACUGAGUGACCCGUCUUCCAUAUGCAUCAACAUGUUCUCUGGACUUGUGGCUGCCUAGAGGACAGAAACCAGAGAGCUUAUCUACCCUUCUAUUGAAGAGUGUUAAUGAGUCAAUGGGAUUUGUUUAAAUAUGAAAAUCGCUACACAAAAAAGGGUUAAACUACAAAAAAACACACUAUGAGUCUAUUUAUGCCACCAGAACCUCCUAUGUUCUGAGGGCAUAUUAAAAUCGCACCGUUUGUAAGUCCGUCCGGAUUAGUUUCCACGCAAUAAAUCAAGGAGUUUUCAUCUGAUUUUCACCAAACUUGGUCAGAAGUUGUAUUUAGAUGAUGUCAAGGCCAAGCUCGAAGAAGGGUCAUGCCAGGUCAAAAACUAGCUCACUGGGUAACGUAGUGGCUUUUAAACAUUCAGCAUGGUUUCCGCUCAAUAAGUCAAGUAGUUUUCAUCUGAUCUUCAUCAAACGUGGUCAGAAGUUGUAUCUAUAUGAUCUCAAGGCCAAGUUGAGACAUGGAUAAUGCCGGGUUAAAAACUAGGUCACCGGGCCAUUUGUAAUAUUCAGCAUGGUGUCCGCUAGGUAAUUCAAGUAGUUUUCAUUCGAUCUUCACCAAACUUGAUCAGAAGUUGUAUCUAGAUGAUGUCUAGGCCAAGUUUGCAGAAUGGUCAUGCCAGGUCAUUUUAUUGCAUUUUUCUAUCAGUUUAAUUUUGUAUUUUUUCCAAACAGCGCACGGAAGUGCGUAUUUGCGUUUUCCCAUCUACGCCCAUGUCAGUGCAAAUAAAAGUGUUAAAAGUGUGAAAGAUAAAAGUGUGUUAGAUUUAUU